GACGAACGCUGGCGGCGUGCUUAACACAUGCAAGUCGAACGGUGAAGCGCCUUCCUUUUUGGUGGGUGUGGAUGAGUGGCGAACGGGUGAGUAACACGUGAGUAACCUGCCCCCUUCUUCUGGAUAACCGCAUGAAAGUGUGGCUAAUACGGGAUAUUCUGGGUCUGUCGCAUGAUGGGUCUGGGAAAGAUAUUGUUUCGGUGGGGGAUGGGCUCGCGGCCUAUCAGCUUGUUGGUGGGGUGAUGGCCUACCAAGGCGGUGACGGGUAGCCGGCCUGAGAGGGUGGACGGUCACACUGGGACUGAGACACGGCCCAGACUCCACGGGAGGCAGCAGUGGGGAAUAUGGCACAAUGGGCGCAAGCCUGAUGCAGCGACGCCGCGUGAGGGAUGGAGGCCUUCGGGUUGUGAACCUCUUUCGCCAGUGAAGCAGGCCUGCCUCGUUUGUGGGUGGGUUGACGGUAGCUGGAUAAGAAGCGCCGGCUAACUACGUG
RNAcentral lists this ribosomal RNA (493 nucleotides) under uncultured bacterium. Its description in RNAcentral is "partial 16S ribosomal RNA". It matches the Rfam family "Bacterial small subunit ribosomal RNA", at positions 28 to 507 of the family's 1533-position model. The record is from RNAcentral.